AAGCGUUUGGCAUCAGCCCUUGGCGUCCGUCGAACAUCCAGGCUUCUGUCUGGUGCACUCGUCGGCCGUCGGGCCAGCAUCGGCUCUGCCCGUCGGAGAAAGGCUCGAGGGAUGUGGCUCACCUUCGGGGGAGUGUUAUAAUCUCGGGUGUCAUGCGAUGUGGUAGGGCCGAGGUCUGCGGACUCUGUCCUAGGACGCUGGCGUAAUGGUUCCAAGCG
RNAcentral lists this ribosomal RNA (218 nucleotides) under Ascomycota sp. Its description in RNAcentral is "partial large subunit ribosomal RNA". Lineage: Eukaryota; Fungi; Ascomycota. The record is from RNAcentral.